UACGUAGGGGGCAAGCGUUAUCCGGAUUUAUUGGGCGUAAAGAGCUCGUAGGGGGCUGAUCGCGUCGGUUGUGAAAGCUCAGGGCUCAACCCUGAGACGCCAAUCGAUACGGAUCGGCUAGAGGUAGGUAGGGGAAAGUGGAAUUCCUGGUGUAGCGGUGAAAUGCGCAGAUAUCAGGAGGAACACCGGUGGCGAAGGCGGUUCUCUGGGAAUGACCUGACGCUGAGGAGCGAAAGUGUGGGGAGCGAACAGG
Molecule: ribosomal RNA, 253 nt
Filed under: uncultured bacterium
Lineage: Bacteria
Description: partial 16S ribosomal RNA
Rfam family: Bacterial small subunit ribosomal RNA
Source: RNAcentral